Molecule: long non-coding RNA, 2091 nt
Organism: Haliotis rubra (blacklip abalone)
Lineage: Eukaryota; Metazoa; Mollusca; Gastropoda; Lepetellida; Haliotidae
Exons: 2
Source: RefSeq, a predicted model, not a curated record
UCUGUUUUAUAUAGCUUGUUUUUAUGAAUGUACUAGUUUCAACAUAAUUUAUAAAUUCUUCAGUGGAUUACAAUGCUAGAUGGGGUUGCAGAAAAGGGUCUCCUCAUAUAACGUUUUUAAAGAAUAUACUAAUUUCACAACAUUAAUCCCCUUGCAAAUUAUUACACUGAAUGACCAAAGAUUUAUUGUUACAAAAUGGUUCUGAUGAAAAUAUGUUCUACGUGAUCACUGUUUGGUUCAUUCAGAACUUUCCAAACAGUUUGAUUAAAGUGUGGAUUAAUAACCUACCUGUUUAUCAAUCUUGUACAUUUGUCCUUAUCAAGUGAAUACUAUUUGUUGCUUUCAAUAUAUAUGAUGCGUUUAUAUGCUGUGUGAACAAAUAUUGAGCCCUGGCUGCGCCGAUGGGGAUGUUGAGGAAUAUGUUAACACUGUCUUAGUGCUUUGAACCAAAAAUGCAGUUCAGAGGAACAUAUUUUGUAAAUCUUAUUAAAUCAAUGCAGACUGUUAUUAAAUGUAAACAUUGUAUUUGUCUUCAAAUGUAUAUUUUUCCACAUUCUUCAUUGAUGAUUGACUAUUGAAUGGUUAUAUGUUGACAGAGAGGUGGUCAACUUGUAUUAGCAUAUUUCAAGGGAGGUGGGUGGUUUGUGGACGUUGCCGGCUAGCACCCUGAUAUGUUGUAGAUAUUGUACUAUACCAAAGAGAUUAGGAGGAAGCUUUGAAAUAUGCUUGUACUGUGUUGGGAUUGUGUGACUGAAGAGGUCAAGGUAUGUUUAAUGAUGUCACAUCUGAGGUCAUCACAUCUGAGGUUAUCAUAUCUGAUGUUGUGACAUCACAGUUCAGAUGACAUCCUAACAAUGAGUAAGAAAUCACAAUCUGUGUACCAUGACAGUUUGACAUUAUGUUACGUAUGUCAUCUUUGACAUUACAAUCUGUAUGACACUCCAGUCCCUGCAUUAGGAUAUGUAUAAUGUCUUGUAUGACAUCAAGGUCAUUUACACAAUAUCAUGUGACAUCAGAUAUCACAGUCUGUAUGACAUCAAGGUAUGUGUAAUGUGAUGUGUGAUAUCACUCUGUAUACCAUAAGGUAUAAAAAUGUCAUGUGAUGUGAUAUCACUCCAUAUAUCUUAAGGUAUAUAUAGUGUCAUGUGACAUCUGAUAUCACACUCUGUAUGACAUUAAAGUAUGUGUAAUGUGAUGUGUGAUAUCACUCUGUAUACCAUAAGAUAUAAAAAGGUCAUGUGAUGUGUGAUAUCACUCCAUAUAUCUUAAGGUAUAAAUAGUGUCAUGUGACAUCUGAUAUCACAGUCUGUAUGACAUCAAGGUAUAUAAUUGUCAUGUGAUGUGUGAUAUCACUGUAUAUCAUAAGGUAUAUGUAAUGUCAUGUGACACCUGAUAUCAGAGUCUGUAUGACAUGAAGGUAUGUGUAAUGUGAUGUGUGGUGUCUCUGUAUGAUAUCAAGGCAUAUAUAAUGUCAUGUGAUGUGUGAUAUCCUUCGUAUGCCAUAAAGUAAAAUUUGUGUCAUGUGGCAUCUGAUAUCACAGUCUGCAUGACAUCAAAGCAUGUGUAAUAUGAUGUGAAAUUUGAUAUCAAUCAGUAUGAACAGUCCAAUGACGUCAUCCAUACCAUGAUGUCACAAUCUGUAUGACAUCACAGGCCGUAUGACAUCAAGACUUGUAUCAUGUCACAUGUGAGAUGUCAUUGUCUAUAUUUCAACAGGUAUGAUAUCUGACCAAUUUAGACCUCACCUGAAUUGCGCUAUUUUUGUGAAGAUUGUGAAAAUUGGUCAAAUAUUUGAUGACUGUAUUGCACAAAUGAAAACCACACUAUGAAACAAGUUGCACAUGAACCCUUAUUUGCUUUAUGUACUAGAAAGGCUGAUUUGCAAUGAUUUAUUCUUGAAGAUUCAAUAUACACCCAAUAUUGUCUUUGUGUUCUUUGCUAUGAAAACUAAGGUAAAAUUUCCAGGCAGUGCCAUAUUAUGUUUUCAUUUAAUCUUUGAUGUUAGUGGAAUUUUUUGGAAAAGAUGGUGGUCAAAUCCAUGCAUUGAUUAUAGUAGUUUUUAAUAAGUGAAAAUAAAUUUCAAGUUUUCUC